CCUACGGGUGGCAGCAGUGGGGGAUAUUGCACAAUGGGGGGAACCCUGAUGCAGCGACGCCGCGUGGGUGAAGGAGUGCUUCGGCAUGUAAAGCCCUAUCGGCAGGGAAGAAGCAAGACGGUACCUGACUAAGACGCCCCGGCUAACUACGUGCCAGCAGCCGCGGUAAUACGUAGGGGGCGAGCGUUAUCCGGAUUCACUGGGUGUAAAGGGAGCGUAGACGGCCAAGCAAGCCAGGGGUGAAAGCCCGGGGCCCAACCCCGGGACUGCCCUUGGAACUGCAUGGCUGGAGUGCGGGAGGGGCAGGCGGAAUUCCGUGUGUAGCGGUGAAAUGCGUAGAUAUACGGAGGAACACCAGUGGCGAAGGCGGAUUGCUGGACAGUAACUGACGCUGAGGCGCGAAAGCGUGGGGAGCAAACAGGAUUAGAUACCCCUGUAGUC
Molecule: ribosomal RNA, 441 nt
Filed under: uncultured bacterium
Lineage: Bacteria
Description: partial 16S ribosomal RNA
Rfam family: Bacterial small subunit ribosomal RNA
Source: RNAcentral